RNAcentral lists this long non-coding RNA (1516 nucleotides) under Sus scrofa (pig). RNAcentral describes it as "lncRNA (ENSSSCG00070005770.1)". The record is from RNAcentral. Lineage: Eukaryota; Metazoa; Chordata; Mammalia; Artiodactyla; Suidae.
GGAAGUCCAACUCCCUGCUCUCUGGCCUGACUUGGGCUGCAAAAGGGGUUUGGAGUGGUCAGGGGCCUGGGAACCAGGAGCUCAGGCUUUGGUCUCCGGAGAGAUGAAAAGGAUGCUGUUGUUUGAUUUAUCUUUCUUGAGAUCAUUAAGCUUGGGAUGCCUGAGCUGAUCCCAGUGGGGCAGAUUUUUCAGGAUAAUGGGAGGCUCGCUCAGGGUUCUGGCAAAGCUUUACACACACCCUUUCUACACCCCCCCUUCCCUACCACCAUCCCCAGAAGCCCCUUUCCUUUCCUAAAAUUGAGCUAGGACCCAAUUCUGAGUUUUUCUCGCCCAUUUCUUUGUCUCUUGUAGGAUUUUGCGGAGCCACUCGACAGAUGAGAAUCUCAUUUCGAGGCUCCUCAGAAGGCGAACUGCACCCCCUCCCUCAAGCCUCUUCUCCAGUCUCAUGGUUUUCAUGACCACUAGGGGAAGACGACGAAUUCCAAGGGGCGCUUGCAGGCAAUGGGCUUUGUCUGAUAUGUCCAUCACUGUCUCCCAGUGCUUAGCACAGAAGCCGGACCGCGAGGGGCUUAGGAAACAGCUGCUGACUGGCCAUCAGAACCGGGAUUAGAGGCCCUCCCUUCGAGACCAUUGGUUUCUAGGCUGCAGCUGCUCCUUGACGUCUUUGACUUUCCACGCCGCCUUGCACAUAGUAGGUGCCCGUUAAGUGGCUCCUUAGAGAUCAGUCCUCCAUUGCACAUGACGCCAUGUGGGAAGGAAGGACUGCAGAGCCAGGCUCCUAGGUGAUUUCUAGGAACAGAAGAGGGACCCCCACCUCCCCCCGCCCCCUGCAGCGUGGCUGAGGGGAAAUCUAGAGUUUGAGAGGCAGGAUAACCAAAGGAGUCCCUCAGGGCUCCUUCUAAUCCUGGAGUCGAUGGUCCACAGAAGCAGGAAGGACUUUGAUCCAGAAUGUACCAGUCAGCUCCAGAGCAACGGUGCCCUUGGUGCCAGCUGGAGGAGACCAGACCGUGUUCUCCAGGGGAGCUGGGCUAGCACACUGAUUGGCUAGAGAUCAUUCCCAUGAGCAUUGCUAAAGUUGGGGCAAACUCGAUUUUAAGCUAAGUGGAAAUAUUUUUAUUUGAGUUAAUGUACAUUGGAUCUAGUAAACACACUGAGUAUAUUACGACGCGCUCUGGAAAUGUGCAGUCCGAUCAGCAAACAGAUUAGUUUUAAGUGAAAAGACACUGGCAGACGCUUAAAUUCAUUGACUUGUUGAGAACGUCUAGAUUUGGAUAUAAAUGCACUGGAACGCUAGAUCAGUUUGGUGUCUCAGCCCAUCCGCACGGAGAAGCUAUUGAUUUUAGUUGAUAUGCAUUGAUUCCCAGAAAACAGGACGGCUUUUGAAAAUGAACUUCCAGUAAUUUCAGGGAGAAGCCGGUGCGUUCGUCUCCACGCGAGGCUGGCUUGUUUUGUUAAACGUGUCUCUACGCCUCGAAGGAACGGAGCAGCAGACAAAUAUCUUCGUAUGAAUUAAAAU